RNAcentral lists this ribosomal RNA (627 nucleotides) under Oxystele impervia. RNAcentral describes it as "partial 12S ribosomal RNA". Lineage: Eukaryota; Metazoa; Mollusca; Gastropoda; Trochida; Trochidae. The record is from RNAcentral.
AAGGAAGUAGAAAGUGUUUAGGGAAAUAAAAAUUUUAGUUUUUAUGAAGAGGUGGAAUUCGAACAUAAGAAUUUAUUUUAGUAUUUUUAUUUUAUUUGAUGCUUCGAAAGUUGUUGACAAGACCGGGAUUAGAUACCCCGUUAUUUUUUUUGUAAAUAUUGGUUGCUUUGAUUAGCUUACCUGAGUAUUACGGGUUAAUAAAAUUUAUGUGUUGUAAUAUCAUAUUGAUUUAAUUAGUAACUUAAAACUCAAAAAACUUGGCGGUGCUUUAUUUCCUGCCAGGGGAACCUGUCCUGUAAUCGAUAGUCCACGAUAUAACUUACUUUUUCUUGAAAGAUUACUAUAAAGUUGUUUCAGUUUGUAUACCGUCGUCGUCAGAUUACCUUUAAAAGUUAAGGAGUUGUCGGGUAAAGUUAAUAAAUUUUUUAUAUAAGUAUAUUGUGUAAAAUUUUGUUUCUUUAGAUGUCAGAUCAAGGUGCAGCUUAUGAAGAAGUAGAGAUGGGUUACAAUACAUAUUUUGUAUUAUGGAUACUAGUUUGUAAUAACUGGAUGAAAGUGGACUUGGAAGUAAUUUAUUUUAUAUAUGUAAAUUAGAAAGUGCAAGUGAAGUAUGGUACUAAAGCGCGU